CCUGCUCUGCCGCUGCGCCGCCGGCCGCGCCCUGCACGCGCAGGAGCCGCCCCGUCCGCCGAUCCUGCUGCAGGUGGGUUGGGGUGCUUCGUAUGCCUCACUGAGAUGGGCCGAGGUGGCCAGGUGGGCUUUUUUUCUUUUUCUUUUUGAUAAUAAUAUGUUUCUGUAUUUCUACUUAAGGAGAACAUACAGAUACACGAACAAAUACAGAAACACACGGCAAGGAUAC
Molecule: long non-coding RNA, 229 nt
Filed under: Sorghum bicolor (sorghum)
Lineage: Eukaryota; Viridiplantae; Streptophyta; Magnoliopsida; Poales; Poaceae
Description: long non-coding RNA (SBIC_LNC013473)
Source: RNAcentral